RNAcentral lists this long non-coding RNA (2989 nucleotides) under Homo sapiens (human). RNAcentral's name for it is "HSALNT0287982". The record is from RNAcentral. Lineage: Eukaryota; Metazoa; Chordata; Mammalia; Primates; Hominidae.
UGUCUGGGCAAUAUAGUAAUACCCCAUCUCAAAAAAAAAAUUUUUUUUUUUUUGAGACAGUCUCACUUUGUCACCCAGGCUAGAGUGCAGUGCUGCAAUCUCUGCUCACUGCAACCUCUGCCACCUAGGUUCAAGCGAUUCUCCUGCCUCAGCCUCCCAAGUAGCUGGGAUUACAGGCUCCUGCCACUGUGCCUGGCUAAUUUUUGUAGUUUUUAUAGAGAUGUGGUUUCACCAUUUUGGCCAGGCUGGUCUUGAACUCCUGGCCUUGUGAUCCACCUGCCUUAACGUCCCAAACUGCUGGGAUUAUAGGCAUGAGCCACCACGUCUGGCCAAAAAAAAUUUUUUAAAGUAGCUGAGUGUGGUGGCAUGGGCUUGUAUGUAGUCCCAACUGCUAGGGAGGCUGAGGCAGGAGGAUUACUUGAGCCCAGGAGGUGGAGACUGCAGGAGUCAUGAUGGUGCCACCGUGCUCCAGCCUGGGCAACAGAGUAAGAGCCUAUGUCAAAAAUAAAAGGAAGUAUCAAGGGAGAUGAUUACACAGUGCCUGGCACACUGUAGGUCUCCAAAAAAUAAACCUUUUCUAUCCAUCAGUUUCCUCUUCUCUCCAGCAUGAAAUUGCGUAUGUAAAGUUGAAAAGAAAAAAGAGAGAGAGAAUCUUUCAAAAAGGUGGUAAUGUUGGUGGCAUUGUGGUUGUUUAAAACAAACAAACAAACAAACAAAAAACCUUGGGGGAAAUACAGAGAAAGCCCCAAGGCAGUCCUUCCAAAAAGCUGAAAGUGCUUUGCUUUGUCUGGAAUUGUGACCGAGUUUUCCCUGUUAGAAAAGUCUGUGGUUAGAAGCUUCCUGUUAAGCCAGCUUCCUGGUAAGAAGGUGGAACCGUUGUUUCUUCUGUGUGACGGGUUCCCUCUGCCGUUUCUGUAGGUUGCCUCCCUGUGGUCGUUUACUGUGGUGGGUCCAGACUCAAAACCAGGUUUGGGGCCACCAUCAUCAUAUUUGUGUCCCCCACCCCAAGAUUCUUAUGUCGACACCCUAGUCCCCAAGAUGAUGAUAUUAGCAGGUAGGGCUUUUAGGAGGUGAUGAGGUCAUGAGGGUGGGUCCUCAUGAAUGGGAUCAGUGUCUUUAUAAAAGGGACCCCAGGGAGCUCCCUCGCCCCUUCCACUAUAUGAGGACACAGCAAGAUAGCACUGUUAAUUAGGAAGCUGGUCUCUGCCAGAUGCUGAAUCUUCCACACCUUCAUCUUGGACUUCCAGCCUCCAGGACUGACAGCAGUAAAUGUCUAUUGUUUCUAAGCCUUGGUCUACUGUGUUUUGUGAUGGCAGCCCAAAUGGAUUUAGAUGGGGCUCUAUUCACCCCAUGCAGCAGGGUCCAUGGAAAGGCAGCUGUGAUGAGAUGAUCCAUCAUUACCUCUUUCAUGCAGACUGAACAUCUCUGCUUUUCUGUUCUGUUCUCUUCCACUUUUUCAUGCUAUAUUUUCUCAGCAUUAUUCCUCUUGUUUCUGGCCUCUUUUGAAGUCUUCUUUUCCAGGGAUCUGCAUUUCCCCCAUCCUCUUGAACAAGAAACUACUGGCCCUGGGUCUCCUUACCUUGCCUCCCACGUGUUGCUCAUCUCCUUGGAGAUGGAAACUGAAGAAGAGGAAGAAAUUUUAACAUGAAGAGGAACAUAGAACACACAGAUCCCGAGAGAUGGAGAAAGCCAACCCAGUGGCUCAGGGAGACAGCUGGGAGGGGAAAUGGGGAGGACUGCUGAAUAGAAUAUCCAGUCUCCUUUGGGGGCGAUAAACAUAUUUUGGAACUAGAUUGAGAUGACAGUUGUACAACACUGUGAAUAUGCUAAAUGUCACUAGAUGGUCAAUUUUAAAAUGAUUCAUUUUAUGUUAUAGUGAAUUUCACCUUGAUGGGAAAGAAGAUAAAGAGGAAGCUGGUGGCUCGAGCCUGUAAUCCCAGGACUGUGCAAGGAAAGAGACAGAGUUUGACGCUACUGGUGGCCAGGUCUUGCAGAGCAUGGUGGCAGACUUUUUUUUUUUGUUAUCGAGUCUAGCUCUGUCGCCCAGGCUGGAGUGUAGUGGCGUGAUCUCAGCUCACUCCAACCUCCACCCCCCAGUUCAAGUGAUUCUCCUACCUCAGUCUCCUGAGCAGCAGGGACUACAGAUGCCUGCCACCACACCCGGCUAAUUUUUGUCUUUUUGGUAGAGACGGGGUUUCACCAUUGAGAUCAUGAGUGGUGGGAUUCUUGGUCUUCUUGUUCUGUUUUGGAGAUGGAAGCCACAGGAGCCCCUUCGAGAAUGAAUGUAGGGUGUAACUGUAUUAGUUUGCUCUGACUGUCAUAACAAAAUACCACAGACUGAGUGACUUAUUUAAUAGAAAUUAAUUUUCCCACAGUCCUGGAGGCUGGAAGUCUGAGAUCAAGGUGUGGGCAGGCCUGGUUCCUCCUAAGGCCUCUCUCUUGGGCUUGUAGAUGCUAUCUUCUCCCUGUGUCCUCACAGGGCCAUCCCUCCAUUCGCCUUUGUGUCCUUAUCUCCUCUUUUUUAAUUUUUAUUUUUUUAGAGACAGGAUUUUGCUCUGGCCCAGCCCAGAGUUCAGUGGUGCUAUCAUAGCUCACUGCAGCCUUGGCUUCCUGGGCCCAAAGCAACGCUCCCACCUCAGCCUCUUGAAUAGCUGGGACCACAGGUGUGCACCACCAUGCUCAGCUUUUGUAUAUAUAUUUUUCCUAGAGAUGGAGUCUCCCAAUGUUGCCUAGGCUGGUCUCAAAUCCUGGCCUCAAGAAAUCCUCCUGCCUCAGCCUCCCAAAGUGCUGCGAUUACAGGUUUCUGGAAUUUUCCUGAAGCAUUGCAUGCUGAUACAGAUUCUGAGCUGGUGCUUUGACUGUCACAAGCCAGAGGGUCCUAGAAGAAGUAGAAUCAUAACUGAGGAAAACUUAGGAAACCCCAUCCGUUCUGCCUUUCAAAGGUCUUCAGGGCAGCGCCACGUUUCACCACCUGAUUUUGGUGUUUCAC